UUCACAUUACAUCCUCGCGACUAAUGACAAUCCUUAUCUUUUCCACUGAAAGACAAAGCCUCUCAUUAGCCGCGCGAACCUCUGUAGCGGAAGAUCCUCUUUAGAAACAACACCCAUUACCAUACUGCGUUCUUGUGUUGCUUCCUAGAAUAAAGGGGCCAAAUUUGGCCCCUUU
RNAcentral lists this small RNA (175 nucleotides) under Chimaeribacter arupi. RNAcentral's name for it is "SraG RNA". It matches the Rfam family "SraG RNA". Rfam says of the family: This RNA was discovered in E. coli during a large scale screen. The record is from RNAcentral. Lineage: Bacteria; Pseudomonadati; Pseudomonadota; Gammaproteobacteria; Enterobacterales; Yersiniaceae.